RNAcentral lists this ribosomal RNA (449 nucleotides) under uncultured bacterium. RNAcentral's name for it is "partial 16S ribosomal RNA". It matches the Rfam family "Bacterial small subunit ribosomal RNA", at positions 29 to 523 of the family's 1533-position model. The record is from RNAcentral.
AACGAACGCUGGCGGCAUGCCUAAUACAUGCAAGUCGAACGAUCACUUCGGUGGUAGUGGCGCACGGGUGCGUAACGCGUGGGAACCUGCCCUUGGGUUCGGAAUAACGUCGGGAAACUGACGCUAAUACCGGAUGAUGACGUAAGUCCAAAGAUUUAUCGCCCAGGGAUGAGCUCGCGUAGGAUUAGCUAGUUGGUGGGGUAAAGGCCUACCAAGGCGACGAUCCUUAGCUGGUCUGAGAGGAUGAUCAGCCACACUGGGACUGAGACACGGCCCAGACUCCUACGGGAGGCAGCAGUAGGGAAUAUUGGACAAUGGGGGCAACCCUGAUCCAGCAAUGCCGCGUGGGUGAUGAAGGCCUUAGGGUUGUAAAGCUCUUUUACCCGGGAUGAUAAUGACAGUACCGGGAGAAUAAGCCCCGGCUAACUCCGUGCCAGCCGCCGCGGUAA